RNAcentral lists this long non-coding RNA (1443 nucleotides) under Apteryx owenii (little spotted kiwi). RNAcentral's name for it is "lncRNA (ENSAOWG00000009417.1)". Lineage: Eukaryota; Metazoa; Chordata; Aves; Apterygiformes; Apterygidae. The record is from RNAcentral.
GUCAUUUUGAAGAGGGGCUGUACAACAUUGCGUAUCACCACUCUCAAGCAUUACAACGAAAGCCGAAGACCAGCCCAGAGAGAAUUAAAAAACAACAACUGAGAAUUAAAAAAAUAACUGUGGCAUGUGUUUUAUUUCUCUUGGCUGCUGUGCCUCACAAGUGCCCUGAGGUCAUGAAGUUGCAAGAAUUUCAACAAAACUGCAGGAAUUCGCUGCAAGAUGUCUCCCAGUUCAGUGCCAACACGUAGGCUUCGGGCAGCCUGGCUCUGAAACCACAUCAUAUGUGACCACAGAGAUUUGUUGCAUUUCCUACCUUUGGGCAAAUGUCAUGCAACAGAAACCACAGACACUGAGUGUGUUUGCAGCGUCCACGAGGGCUCUUUCUCCUCUCUCAUUAGGGUGCAAACCAUACGCAAUGAAGCACUGUACCAGAAACGUGCUAAUUGUUAGCAGACGCCUCCAGUUUCAGAAACUCUGUGGAGAGGGCAAGGGGAACCACAGGAGCCAGACAGGACCUGACUUUGCUUUUCCCUGUCCAGUGACAUUAAAGCACCAGACAGGCAAAUCCUCUCUCUAGCUGUAAGUUGGAUGCAAUCAACUUGGGCACCAGGGAGACAAGGAGGAGGCAAAGGCAUAUUGCUUUAAAGUCACUUUUCAGGACGCACUUUUUCAUGGGAAAAAUACUGAAGCAGCAUGAGUCACGCGUUGGUGUAACACAUCCCCAAGCCAAAAAAGCAGCGCCUGGGAAGCGGCACGGCCGAGCCGGGGCACAGACUUUUGCUUGAAUCGGCUCCAGCUGGGGCAGGAGAGCAGCAGAAAGCCGCGCUGCGAUGAUGGAUGGGAGGCCAGUGUGAAGCGAGUUGGACAGCUCCUCGCCCGGGUGCCCUUCCCGGCUGCUGCACAAGCGGUGCCCGCGCGGCCCAGGGAAGCGGCCGUUCGCCUCGGCCCCAGGCCUCGGGCCUCGGUACCGGCGGGGCCCGGCCCGGCCCGGAGACGGCCCGAGCCAGGGAAGGCCCGAGCCAGGCCCUGCCGCAGCCGGGGAGCUCGGGUGCCCCCCCGAGGCCAGCCGGCACCGGGCUCCCCCCGCAGCGAGCCCCGAGCACGGUCCGCACCGAGGGCAGCGGCCCGCGGGCCCCGCCCGGUGGUUCCGCCCAUGGCGGCGCCCUUCCCGCCUCUCCCGCCCCGCGCCGAGCGGAGGUCUCGCGAGAUCCGCCCCGGGUCAUGCGCCUGCGCAGUGCCGCGGCCCAGGGGAAAGGGGCGGAGCCUCUUCACCGCCGCCUCACGGUUCCGCCGCCAUCUUGUUUCUCGGCCGCUGGGCGCUCGCUCCGCUCUGGUCGCCCCCUCCCCCUCCUUCCCGCCUCCCUUCAGCCGGGCCGGAGGCAGCGCGGGCGCCGGGCGGAGGAGGCGGAGGUCGCGGCGCUGGCUGCCCCGCUACUCGUUUGA